UAGCACAUGUUAUUGAUUAAUAGACUGAUAAGAGUAAAGGAGGAGGUUGAUGGUAAGAUGGAGCACAUUAAUGUUUAAUGAUUAUUAAGGCAGUGGACGAGAGGAUAAAAUAGUUUCUUAACCCUAAUUCUCAGCUUAAGCAUUUGUAUCGGUGUAAGAUUUAUAGUUUUCUUCAAACGACUUACAUGUAUUUCUUUGUAAAAUAGUAUCUAAGUAUUUGGGAGUUUUGUGUAGCGAUCCGGAAUUGUUAGCUUCUAGUUUCCCAUUGUGCCUCAGCGGGUUAAGGACCUGCCAUUGUCUCCCUGAGGUUGCAGGUUCACUCUCCGGCCUUGCUCAGUGGGUUAAGGAUCUGGAGUUGCCACAAGCUGCAGCAUAGGUUGCAGAUGCAGCUCGGAUCUGGUGUUGCUGUGGGUGUGGUCUAGGCCUCAGCUGCAGCUCUGAUUUCACCCUUAGCCUGGGAACUUCCAUAUGCCAUGGGUGCGGUCCUAAAAAGAAAAAAAAAAUUGUUAGCCUCUAACUAGUAAUUCAUAUUACAAACACUAUAAUUUAUGUAUAUAUAUAUAUAUAUUUUUUUUUUUUUUUGUCCAUUUUGGUCGCCCUGUGGAACAUGGAGCUCCCGGGCCAGGGAGCAGAGCCAGUCACGACCUAAGCCGAAGCUGUGGCAAGGCAGGCUCCCUAACCCACUAUGCUGGGCCAGAGAUAGAACCCGCCUCCCAGCAGCUCCCAAGAUGCUGCCAAUCCUAUGCGCCACAGUGGAAGCUCCUAUCAUUUUUAUCUUGGUUUUAGUUACAUUACUAAUUAAUUCUGUUCAUUUUCCAACUGAUACUCUUGCCUUUUUAAAACAAGCAAUAUAAGAUCGUAAUUAGCAAUAUUAGCAUUUAACACUGUACUUUUAUUAAGAAUCAUUUAUGUUUAAAAUGUCUUUUUGCGAAUGACCUAUUCAUAUCAGGAUCCAAACAAAAUCCACACAUUGCCUUUGGCAGACAUGUCCUUGAGUCUGUAACAGCUCCUUUUCUUUUACUUUUUCAUUUAUUUAUGGAACAUUUACAUUUAUUUAUGGGCUACGUUGGAUCAUUUGCCCUAGAGAAUUUCUUACCGUCUGUACUUGGCCGAUUAUAUUCUUGUGGCAUUAUUUAAUGUUUCUCCAUCCCCUGUCUUUCCUGUAAACCAGUAGUUAGGUCCAAAAUCUUGAUUGAAUUUGGUUUUAAAUGUGUUUGGCGAGAAUCUUGGUGGUGGUGCCGUCUGCUCUCAGUUGCGUCACGUUGGGAGCCACGUGAGUGUCUGGCUGCUGCACUGUUGUAACGUUAACGUGGAUCCGUGGAUUCGGGUGAUGUCAGGCUGAUUCGUCCGUUGAGAAGAAUGACAUCAACUUUUUACCAAAUGCUUUUAAGCAGCCAUGGAUGACCUUGGCCAAGUCCCUUAUUUCAUGAGGAAAGCAAAGUGGCGACUUUCUAAUUCGGUUAUUCUUCUGCAUUUACUCAUUCCUCCUUCCCUUUGGAAAAAACCUCACCUCCUCCCCUGUUUAAUUACCCUGACACAGAAAGCUGAACUGCUCGAUUCAAUUUUUAGAAAAAUGGUGAGUGCCGAGCAGCCUCCCAAAGUGGCAAAGAAGGUUUUGGGGGGGUUGGUAUAUUCUUCCAGAUGCAUAGGAAUGCACAUAUCUAUUUUGACCCAUUGCAGUAUUUAUUUUUAUUUUGUCUAAAUAAUGAAAGACUCUAAUGCUUUCAAUGUAUAUCUGGCCAAAUGCCAUAAUGGCAAGUGAGAGGUGUAAGUGGUAUGUCUGUGCCUGGUUUGCAUUUUUGGGGUUUGUUUGUAUUUUUCUGAUUUCGUACAUGUGUUUUUAAAAGAGAUGUUCUUGCUUUCCUAUUAUAGGAAAAAUCUGGUCUUUGUUAUUUCUGCUGCUGGAAAUUUAUUAAGAAUUUUUUUACUCUAUGAUUGAUUUUCUAAAUUUUCCUUAUUUUGUCUGUUUAGUCUGCUACAGAGUAAUGCUGAGGUGUGGUAAAGUCUCCCACUGCCUGUGUAGGUCUGUUCAUUUUUCCUUCUAUAUGCAGUGUUUUUAUUCUACAUAAUUUACUGCUAUUAUUUGGUUAAUGUCCAUUCCUAGUAAAAGAUGUCUGAGGUCAUUUGCUUUCUAAUCCUUUCUGACCCUUUCUGGUCGGCCGCGAGCUGAUGGCUUAUGUCUUUAUUGGAAAUUGCAUUAUUUAAAUAGGUUUCAUUGUCUUAUUUUAUGCUUUUUUGCCUUGAAUCAUAAUUGGCUGAUAUAAACAUUGCCAUCUCUGCAUACUUUUUUCUUUCUUUAUAUUUGCCUGAUAAAUUGUGCCUAUUUUAUUGACUUUCUUUAGUGACUUUUCAUGGAAACAAAGAAUUUGCUACUUUCCCACUCUCAGCCCUUGAUAUUUGCUCAUCAUUUACUUGUUUUAUAACAUAGUACAAAAUAGAAAAUUAAGAUAGAAUUAAUAUUGGAAAAUAAUCAUGCAUACAUAUACAUACAUACACACAUACAUGCAUGCAUGCAUAUAAAAUUUUUGUCUUUUGGCUGCACUCACAGCAUGCGGAAGUUCCCAGGCCAGGGACUGAGCCCGCACCACAGCAGUGACCCGAGCCUCUGCAGUGACCAUACCAGAUCCUUAACCUGCUAUGUCACAAAGGAACUCCUAAAUUUCCAUUUUUACAUUUAACUGAUUUCAGGGAGUUCCACACUGAGCCGGGAAACCCUGAGACUGUUAAUAAAAGCAUGUUAAUGAGAUUCAAAAUUACCAUGAAAAAGAUGAGGAAAGAAAUUCAUCUUUCCUUUUGUUAACAAGUCAACUGAAAUUUAAUAUGAAGGAAUUUGGGAUUUUGGUUUAAGCAAUAUAAUUUGUAAUGAAGACAAGUCAUCGGCUUUGAGCCCCCAGAAAGUGUCGGAAAGUGAGUGGCAUGAAGCAUAGAUUUUUCAAAACUAAACACAGAAUGACGUGUGCUGUUUCAGCUGCUCUGUUUGGUCUUAAGGUGACCGUCUCGGUUGGGUCUGUCAUUUUCUAGAUGGUAAUAGAUCCAGGUUGAUAAUCGAGGUAAUGACGACUGGGUUGGGUCUUAACUAUUUUGAAACUUGUUCUCAUCAUAUAUGAAGCUCCUUUUCAAGUUUCAGUCAAGGUAGUUCUUUUUCCUGACUUCUUUUUCAGUUUCUUCAGUGACUUCACACAGUUUAUGACUUCAUUUUGUCACUAGUAAUUUAAUUUUGAAGAGACUUAAGUGUUUCUGUAAAAACAACCUCGGAUGGUCCUGAAGAAUAUGAUGUGGAAAGCAUUGCUUCAGCUGCUUCUCGUCUGAGAUUCCGCUCCCCAAAGUAGGCACUGGUUUUAGUUGCCUAAUUAUGCUGUUUAAUCUUUAAAAGGAAGCCUAAUUCUUUAAGUACUCUAGUUCAAGAAAGAAAUAGUAUCUGAUUCUUCUGUAAAUAACAAGACAGUUUUCAAUGCUUUUAAAUUUAACAACUCACAAAGCUAGAGGUUACUGAAUUGUCCUGAAAUGUUAAUAUUGAAAUGAGUAAACAUUUUUCUGUAAUUUAUUUUCCAUUGUUUUGACUAAGAGCGUUAGCUACCCGUUUUAAAAAAAUGUCUUUCCGGGAGUUCCCGUCAUGGCGCAGUGGAAACGAAUCUGACUAGGAACCAUGAGGUUGUGGGUUCGAUCCCUGGCCCCGCUUUAGUGGGUUAAGGAUCCAGCAUUGCUGUGAGCUGUGGUGUAGGUGGCAGAUCCCGAGUUGCUGUGGCUGUGGUGUAGGCCAGCAGCUACAGUUCCAAUUAGACCCCUAGCCUGGGAACCUCCAUAUGCCAC
RNAcentral lists this long non-coding RNA (3810 nucleotides) under Sus scrofa (pig). RNAcentral's name for it is "lncRNA (ENSSSCG00000054002.1)". Lineage: Eukaryota; Metazoa; Chordata; Mammalia; Artiodactyla; Suidae. The record is from RNAcentral.